Molecule: ribosomal RNA, 499 nt
Filed under: uncultured bacterium
Lineage: Bacteria
Description: partial 16S ribosomal RNA
Rfam family: Bacterial small subunit ribosomal RNA
Source: RNAcentral
ACUCAAAUGAAUUGACGGGGGCCCGCACAAGCAGUGGAGCAUGUGGUUUAAUUCGACGCAACGCGCAGAACCUUACCCGGGCUAGAAAAGCACGGAACCCGAAUGAAAGUUUGGGGUGCCCGCAAGGGAACCGUGAUCCAGGUGCUGCAUGGCUGUCGUCAGCUCGUGUCGUGAGAUGUUGGGUUAAGUCCCGCAACGAGCGCAACCCUUGUCCUUAGUUGCCAUCAUUCAGUUGGGCACUCUAAGGAGACUGCCGGCGUCAAGCCGGAGGAAGGUGGGGAUGACGUCAAGUCCUCAUGGCCCUUAUGUCCGGGGCUACACACGUGCUACAAUGGUCGGUACAGAACGGCGCGAACCCGCGAGGGGAAGCCAAUCGGCAAAAGCCGACCUCAGUACGGAUUGCAGUCUGCAACUCGACUGCAUGAAGCCGGAAUUGCUAGUAAUCGCUGAUCAGCAGGCAGCGGUGAAUACGUUCCCGGGCCUUGUACACACCGCCCGU